This 704-nucleotide long non-coding RNA is filed under the name Spirodela polyrhiza (greater duckweed). Its description in RNAcentral is "long non-coding RNA (SPOL_LNC000798)". The record is from RNAcentral. Lineage: Eukaryota; Viridiplantae; Streptophyta; Magnoliopsida; Alismatales; Araceae.
UUCAUCCCCCCCUUCUCCUUUAAUAUCGUCCUCUCUCUUCCUCCCCCCUCGCUACAUCGUUUCUCGCCGUCUCUCCCUCUCCUACUAUCCCUUCAUCUCUCUACGCACUUAUGCAGGGGGAAAUAUCCCCUCCUUGUAACCUCGUCCACUCAUAACCUUCAGACUGUCCAGCUGCCUCGUCUCCUUCGUCGUCUCGUCCAGGUGACCUUUUAGCCCUCUCUCCGUCGUGGAUCUGGUGGCGAUGCGGCGCGACGCUGUCAUCCUCCUCGCUCUUCUCUGCAUCCUACUGGUUUAUCCGGCGGCAUCAGACUCCACAGCCUGGUCCGAGGACGCAGCCUACGAGAAGGUGCGCUCAGCGCUGGCAGAGGCUAGAUUGAAGCGGGAAGGAACAAAAUUUUGGCCCGCGGAUUGGUGGCCGUCUGACAAGAAGCGUCGGCUUCGAUCGCGGCCACCGCGGACACCGCCGACACCGGGGACAUCUCCACGAUUCAGUCCCGCACCUAGGCUCAGUGAGCCUCCACCUCCACCUCUGCGGGCACCUGGACCUCACUACCGCUCACGAUUCGUUCCACCCCCUCGCCCUCAGCGCUAUGGGUAGCGUCGUGCACCGGCACGAACAAAAUCUCUUCGGAAAAUAAGCCCAAAAUGGAAAAUCACAUGUAAUUAUUUUACCGAAGUAAUAAAGAAAGGAGCUUCUUUUAUUC